RNAcentral lists this ribosomal RNA (429 nucleotides) under uncultured bacterium. Its description in RNAcentral is "bacterial SSU rRNA". It matches the Rfam family "Bacterial small subunit ribosomal RNA", at positions 355 to 775 of the family's 1533-position model. The record is from RNAcentral.
UGAGGAAUAUUGCGCAAUGGGGGAAACCCUGACGCAGCAACGCCGCGUGAGUGAGGAAGGUUUUCGGACCGUAAAGCUCCGUCGAGCGGGAAGAAAUGCAUGGUGGCUAAUAUCCAUCAUGCUUGACGGUACCGCUAAAGGAAGCACCGGCUAACUCCGUGCCAGCAGCCGCGGUAAUACGGGGGGUGCGAGCGUUGUUCGGAAUUAUUGGGCGUAAAGAGCGUGUAGGCGGCCGAAUAAGUCAGAUGUGAAAUCCCUGGGCUUAACCCAGGACGUGCAUUUGAAACUAUUCGGCUAGAGUAGGGGAGAGCAAAGUGGAAUUCCUGGUGUAGAGGUGAAAUUCGUAGAUAUCAGGAGGAACACCGGUGGCGAAGGCGACUUUCUGGCCCUAUACUGACGCUGAGACGCGAGAGCGUGGGUAGCAAACAG